RNAcentral lists this long non-coding RNA (17301 nucleotides) under Durio zibethinus. RNAcentral's name for it is "long non-coding RNA (DZIB_LNC000073)". Lineage: Eukaryota; Viridiplantae; Streptophyta; Magnoliopsida; Malvales; Malvaceae. The record is from RNAcentral.
UUAUAAGUUGUAGUGCGCACUGCGCAUGGCAUCUUCACCUUUUCAUUUCUCCACUCCACUUCGCACUCUCUUCUCAUCUCCGUCACAUCGAAGAUUACCUUGCAUUCCUAUCCAGGCCUUGCUAUUCCGGCAGCCCCUUACGCAUAAGACGCUUGCCAUCUCGCCGGGAUUAGAGGUGUUCCGGGUUCCGGGAGAUUUUGUUGGAGAGCCAAGGCGUCGAUGGCGGGGACCGCAACUGAGAAAGGGAAAGGAAAGGUGGAGGUUUUUGAUUCCGAGGAGGAUCUGUCGGUAUCCCUCGCUAAAUACACCGCCGAUCUAGCUGAUAAGUUCUCCAAAGAGAAAGGCACUUUUACUGUCGUUUUGUCUGGUGGUUCUCUCAUCAAGUCUCUCAGGUCUUUAACUGCCCUUCCCUUUUUCACUUAAUUUUUACCAUUUCCUUUUUUUUCUCCCUUAUUUUCUCAAAUGAAUUGGCUCCGUCACUAAAUAUUACAAAAUUUUGUGCCUUUUCUGGUUACUUCCCUUUCUUCUUUUGUAUGUAAAGAAAGUUUUUAGGUUUCGAAUUAAUAUUUGCAUGGUUUCUGAUAAUUGAUGAUGUGGGAAAUUGAACUUUCAGGAAACUGGUGGAAUCCCCAUAUAUUGAUUCGGUGGAUUGGUCAACCUGGCGGGUUUUCUGGGUGGAUGAAAGGGUUGUUCCGAAGGAUCAUGUUGACAGUAACUAUAAGCUAGCUUUUGAUGGAUUUCUCUCAAAGGUAUAAUCAAAGAAAAUUUGUGUUUCUAGUUUAUUAUUUCUCACUGCUGAAAUGAUGAUGAAUCUGUUGUGGGUUAAUUGUUACUAAAUUCUGUUAAAUAUGAUGGAUAUGAAAAGGUUUUUAGUCGUAAAAGUUUGGGCUGAGUACGUAGGCGUUUGAGUGAGCUGGAGUUGCUCUGCUUGUAAUGUGCUUGCCUGUUGUCGUAGUGUGCUUUUAUCUGCGGCAGGUUUUCCUGCUUUUCUUGGAUAAUAAAAUUCACUCCAUUAUCCAAAAAAAAAGAAAGGUUUUUAGUCUUUGAUUGCUAACAUGGCAUUGUUUUUUUUUGCUAAUUUGCUAUUUUUGGAGCUCACAUGUAAUAUCAUAUCAUUUGUAAAGUAAAGUGAGCAAUCCAAUAUGGAUUGUAUGUCCAAACUCCAAACAUACUGCUUGGUGCCAUGCAAGUGAGGAUAUAUUUGAUUCUCUUCUGGUUUUUACCUUAGGAGGACGAAAGUUAAUGUUUAAAAUGCAUUGUAGUUUUCCCAACCUGAUAAUGAUCAAUAUUUUGACUGCCAUCAAGUAACCAUUUUUAUGUUGCACCAUAAUUCAACCUUCACUUGGUACUUGGUAGGUAAAUUCUUUUGGUCUGUGCAAGAUGAAAUUAUUGUCAUUAGUAAUUAGCCAAGUUAUCUUCCAGUGCAGGUUCUAUGGUGGUGUUAGUAUUUUCCAAUAUCCCAAGGCAUUCAAGUUAAGCGUGUAUUUUCUCUCCUGCAGGUAACAAUUCUUCCUGGAAAUGUCUAUGCCAUCAAUGAUGCACUGCCUGCUGAAGGUGCAGCUGAUGACUAUGAGACCUGUCUUAGGCAUUUGGUUGAGAGUGGCGUGAUUAGUGUCUCACCAGCUACUGGAUUUCCAAAGUUUGAUCUCAUGCUUCUGGGAAUGGGACCAGAUGGACAUGUGGCUUCUCUCUUUCCAGGCCACCCUCUGGUCAAGGAGAACGAAAAGUGGGUUACCUUCAUUAAGGACUCACCAAAACCUCCCCCAGAGAGAAUUACCUUCACUUUUCCUGUUAUCAACUCAUCUGCUUAUAUUGCACUGGUGGUGUGUGGUGCUGGUCAAGCUGGUCCUGUCCAUGCUGCAUUAGGAAAUAGUCAAAAUUCCGAUAUUCUGCCUGUUCAGAUGGUUUCACCGGAAGGUGAGUUGGUGUGGUUUUUGGACAAAGAUGCAGCUUCAAAGCUGUAAGUUGUGUCUAUAGUUUAUCCGAGUUGCUUCUCAGGAUAUACUUGAUUGUGUUAAUUUGAGCUAUGUCGUCUGACCAGUGGAUGUGCUACUGGAGUUUGUAUCCCUGAUAGUUACGGGACUAGCAAGCAUUUUCUUUCACGUGAUGGAAAAAAUGCGAUCUUAAUAAAUUGUAGUUCAUUGUAAUCAUCCUGUGUUAAUUAUCUAGAAUUCGGUGACAGCAUAUUCGUGAAUCGCAUUAAGUUCAUACUAAUCAUCCAGAUUACUAACUCCUGAAUACUAAAUUCCAUGAUUGUAUCCGAGUUUCCUCAAGUGGGGAUAAUUUUCCUCUGAGCAGCUGGAUGAGGAUUGAAAAAUGAAACGCAACAAAGCAGUCCGAAUGGGCUUAUUGUGCAAGUCUGUGGUUUUUUAGAACUAUGUUUUAGAACUAAACCUCUACUAAAAUCUAAUGUUUUCCUUUAUUUAUUGAUGCUAUAAGAAUUUCAUUUCUCUUUACGUUAAAUCAUUAUAUAUAUAUAUAUAUAUAUGAGGAAUAUUAGAUCAAAAUAAUUAAAUAAUGUAAGUGUUAUAAAUUUAAUUUUUAUUCAAAAGUAAAAAAAUAUAUAACUCCUUCGUACACUAAUAUUGUAAGCGAAUUCUUACUCUCUAUAUAUAAUCUAGAAUGGUGAAUUUUAUAUAUUGUCCUAAUUAAUUUUAAGAUGAAUUAUAUAAUUGAUCACUCAAUUAUGUCAUAUUUUUAAAAUAUUUAUUAAAUUAUUAAAAUUUAAGUAAACAUUUUUUCAUCACUCAAUCUUAAUCUCUAACAAUUGCAAUGUCAAUUAUAAGAUAUCAUGUUAUAUUACCACUUCAAUAAACUUUAUUUUUUCAAAUUUUAUAAUGCCACGUUCGCAAUAAAAUGCGGUUUAUUAUAUUAUGUGGUAAUAUUAUUUGAUACCUAAUAGUUGAUGUAAUAAUGUCAUGUCAAGAUUGACAGCUAAAAUACGAUCAUUAAAGAUUGACAACUAAUAAUGUGUUGCCAGAUACACGACUAAAGACUAAUGGUUGGGUAACCAAAAAAAUAUUUACUCAAAUUUUAAUAAUUAAAUGACUAUUUUAAAAAUAUGAUCAUAAUUAAAUAAUUAAUAGUAUAUUUUACUUUUAAUUUUAUUAUACGUACAUUAUUUGUGAAGAGAAAUGUAUGCCCUGACUUAUCGAUAUCCAUGAUACACACUUCAAUUAUUUUGCUUUGAGUUAAUAUGUAAUUUGAUCUUUGAAUUAUAUUAUUUUUACGAUUUAAUAUUUAUAAAAAAAUUAUGAUUUGACAUAUUAAUUUUUCAUUCAUUAAACAUUUUGUAAUGUUGACUCAUGGUACUAGUUAAAAUCAUAAUAUGAUAGAUAUUAAUCAAUAAAAAUAUGUCACUUUUUAUAAUUUUGUUUGUUAAUUUUUUGUUAUAUCAAGGGAUAAUGUCUUAUAUGGCCCCUAAAUUAUUGUAAUUUUUUGGAUUUGGUACCUAAACUAAAAAAGUUGCUAAAUAGGUAACCAAACAUUAAAUCAUAUAUCAAUUUGGUCCAAGAGUUAACUACAUUAGUUGAGUUAUUGACUUGACUAUUUUAACCAAUAAAAAAUUGCCAUAUGGACACAAAACCACAAUCCAAGGCUCUCUCUACUUCUUUACCAUAUUGCCCUCAAACUCAAACACAGAACCACUCCUUGCAAUCAUGCCUUUUAGUUCAUUUUUUAUCUUAUUCUUUCACUUUAGUUCUACUAAUUCUUUACCCACAAUUGAUUUUCCCAUCAAAAUAACUACAAUGAGAAUGAUCAUCAAUGCCCAACAAGAAUUAUUGUCUUUUUGCAAAUGAGCCAAAAUUGGCUUUUAGAGGCAAUCUUUCACAGUUAAACAUAUGAUUGAUACAAUCACUCACAACAACUCUAAACAAAUGAUCUUGCAACAAGUCAUUUGAAUUGGAAUUUUGAGAGCUUUCCAAAAACGAGUUACUAACAUUAACUUCAUAAUUUGAGAAAUGAUUAAAAGGAAAAUUGGAAGUUUGAGGCUUAGAAACAAGCCAAAAGGUUUCCCACCCUCUAAAAGAUAAAGUAAAAGGUUGAUAAUCUAUUUUUAAUGACUGGGUGGAUUAAAUACCAAGUUUUUGGUGAAAAAGGUCCAUUAAAGCUUUCUUAUAGUUUUCAUGAACCCCUCUAGUUGAUUUCUAAGUGGUUGAAUCAACUUUAGACUCCAUUUUUUGUUUGCUUCAAGAUUUAAUUAUUGUAUCUAUUUUUUAGUCCAACUAUUUUCUAGUUGUCUAUUUUUCCUAAAGUGGUAGCUCUUUAUCGCAUAUGGAUGAAAAGCAUAUGCAUCACCUGAAAAAUGUUAGCUAAGAGAGUGGUUACUAGAAUAAAAAGGACCCAGUUGGUUGUUGGAAUGCAUAUAGAGAUGUUCAGCUAGAUCUAAAGAAUUUACAUUGUCCACUUUCAUGCCAGGAACAAUAGCAAGAAGAGUGGACCUACCAAAUACUAUCGGGUUGGGUAAAAAAUCCCUCGCUACUAUAGCUCUUACAAAGUAUGAUUCCUCUUAAAAUUGUUGAAUUGCUCUUUAAGAGAUGAAAGCCCUUAUUGGCAAAGAUCUAAAGCAUUCAACCCCACUGAUUGAGCUUGCUGAUGACUUCGAAGAUUUCUAACAAACAGACCAACUUCAUCUACAAGCCAAGAACUAACGAGUCAUAUAUCCUCUUUCAUUCCUAAUUGUUGCCCCAGUGCCAUAGAUAAUUUCCUAACCUAGUGAAUGUGAUCUCAUUUAGAUCAAUUUCUUUUCGAUGAACUUUAAUGAAACCUUUAUAUCUAUUUUAAGUCAUCUUACUUUUUUUGUUUGCCAUUGAUCUUGUGAAGGUUAAGCAUAAAUUUCACAAGGUAGUAGCUUUGAUUUCACAAGCUUCGAAUUUUGCUAAAAUUUUAGAGAGUUUUUUCAAUUUGGGGUUUAGGGUUUAUGUAUUGAAUUUGGGGUUUACGAUUUAAGCGAGAAUUAAAAUUUUUUUUAUCGAUUCAAUUUUUUUUCAAAAUAUCCGACCAUAUAAGCAAUCAUGUCAUGCUUACAUGUCAUUUUAUGUCUAGAUGAUGGAUUUUUAUUAGCUAAAAUAGUCAAGUCAACAUUUAGGCUAACGAAAUUAACUCUUGGAUUAAAUUGAUAUACGAUUUCAGAGUUUAGAUACCUAUUUAGUAACUUUUUUAAUCUAGGUACUAAACCCAACAAAUUACAUGGGCAUAUAGGAUAUUAUCCUUUAUAUCAAUAUAUUAUUAACAAAGUUGAUUUAUAAGUAAAUGAUAUGAUAAGAUGAAGUUAAAUAUUAAAUCAUAAAUUUUUUUAUUUAUUAAAACAUAACAAUAAUAUAAUUCAAGUACCAAAAUACAUUUCAAUCCUUUUGCUUUUUUUUUUUUUUUUUCAAAUUUUAGGUUUUAUUUUUUUAUUUUUAUAUCUAUAUAAUUUAAGGGUUAACUAAAAAAAAUACCAUGUGGCUAAAGUUGAAAUAAAAAUACCCCAUGAGGUUUAAAACAUGACACUUAACUAUCCUAUGAUUUGUUUUAUUAUAUUAUUAUUAUUAUUAUUAUUUUUCAUCUAAAUUUAUAUUCUCUCUCUAAAAUUUCAUACUCUAUAUUUAAAAAUUCAUUCUCUCUCUCUCUAAAAUCAAAUCAAUUUUCUCUCUAAACCUAAACCAAUCCAUAAAUAACUUUUAAAUCACUAAAACCUCCAUACCACCACCACCAUUACAAGUUCAUAUCACUACUAGACUUUAUUGUUAAUUGAUUUUCUCUUUCUAAAAAUUUAUAUUCUCUUUCUAAAACCACUAGACCCUUUAUCUUUCUCUAAAUGUCAUUCUUUGAGAACAAAUUCAUCAACUAAUGCUCAAAUCCCAAAAUUUGAUGGACCCUACCGUCACUGUUACUUUACCAUUAUAUGUUGACACCAACACAUUGACAAACCCAUGAAAUACCUUUUUUGGAUUCUAUGUCAUUCUUUUUUUUUUCUAGCAUUUGUCUCCUCUUUUCAAUACCUAUGAAAAUCAAAUAUCCUUAAUUUGGUUAUCUUUUUUGGGUUUCUUAUUUGUAGGUUAUUGGGAUGAUUUUGUUUUAUUUUUUAGGUGGAUUAUUGGUUUUAAUGGCAAUGUUGAUUGUCUGGUAAUAAUGAAGGUAAUGGUGAGGCUAAUAGGUUACCAUUAGAUUUGAUGGUAACUAUCUAGUUUGGUGAUAAUGUGAACUUGUAAUGGUGGUAGUGGUGUAGAGAUUCUGGUGGUUUGAAGGUUAUUAUUUGUUGAUUGAUAUGAGUUUAGAGAGAGAAUUGGUUUUGUUUUAGAGUGAGAAAGUAUGAAUUUUAUGAGAAAGAGUAUAAAUUUAGAUGAAAAAGAAAGAAAUAAAAAAAGGUAACGAUUUUGGGUAAAAAACAAUAAAAUCAAUCAUAAGAUAAUUAAGUAUCACAUUUUAAAUCUCAAAUGUACUUUCAUUUUGACCUUAAUCACAUGGUAUAUAUUAAGAGCAUUUGAUAGUUAAAAAGGUAUAAUGAUAUUUUUCUUUCUUAGAAUCCUUCAAUAGACAACUAGGGGUAUUUUUAUCAUUUGUGUUAACCGAAUAUGUCAGGUUGGUCUGACAUGCUCAGUUCACAUUAGCUCGACACUGUCUUUAUUAUUCCCUAAUGGUCUCCUACAACUUACCUAUAAAUAUAAAUAUUCAGACACUGCUAAGGCAGGUUCAUUUAACUCACUUUCUCUCUUUCCUAUCCCUUUCGAUCUUUUUUUUUUUACUUGCACAUUGGAGUGCAAACGCAGGGAACACACCUUAUCUUUACCUCUAACUAUUCUUCUUUUUUAUCUUUUUAAGAAUGCCUCAAGGCUAGAGCUCGGUACAAACAUUUGGCAUGCUAGGUAAAAGGAUAUUUUCUUUUAUUAGCCGAGUAUAAAGUAAUGCUGCCAAAAAAGAGAACCUUAUAGAAAAGAAAGAUAGCCAUCCUGAUUGGAAUAAAAAUCAUAGCUAGCAUUCAGUCCAACCAGCCCAACCAUAGAUAGGCCUGAUCAUGGAACAAUUUUAAGUCUUGACUAAAUAGAUAUAGGCUUUUAAAUUGAUGUUAUAAACCAUAAUCGUACCAUAAGUCUCGAAAGUGCCUAGCUUAAUCACCCUUGAUCGAGGAGUUACCAUUAGACAAUCGAGCGACGAAGAGGUGAAAGCCUUUUCAACCUUUAAAGGAGAAAGGCACAACACCUUAACCCAUCAAUACCUUAGCCAUAAUUAGACACAUGUUAUAACUCAAAAAUCCAAAUUGAUAAAUUUUGAAUUCCAACCAAACAAGGACUUGGAAGUUAAGAUAUAGGCCAUGAAAAAGAGUUGAAAAAGAAAGUGGUGGCAUUCGAGGAUGUGUUUAAGAUCCUAAAGAUCUCGUUCAUUAUUAAAAAAAUUGAUAAAGUCAUGCCUCCCAAAAGAUUUAAAAUGAUGACCUUAGAAACAUACAACAAACUUUUGAUCUUUUCAAUCAUUUGAAACUUUAUAAGACUAACAUAAUGAUGCAAGGCACAGACGAACCUUUGAUGUGCAAAGGCCUGGCUAUCAUAUUGAAGAGUGCAACUCGAUCCUGAUACAAUAGCCUACAAUUGAGAUCGAUCACUACAUUUAAAAAACUUAACCACUCUUUUCUGUCUAGGUUUGUGAGUAGUAGAAGAAUGAAAAAAAUGACCUUAAGCUUGAUGUCAAUCCACCAAAGUUAAAAUAAAUAUUUAAAGAGCUAUGUUACCCGUUUUAAUGCAAAAGCUCUGCAGGUUAAAGAUUUGGAACAAACCUGUCAUCGUAGUCAUCUUGACAAGUCAACUCCAUGAUAAAAGGUACUAUCUAAAGUUAACUUUGUUGUUAGAAUCGCUUAAAACUCUAGUUGAUAUUCUACUGAUAGCCAAUAAAUAUAUAAGUACUGAAGCUACAAUGAAAACUAAUUGAAGUGAGAAAGUUCAUCCCUCAUUUUCAAUUGUAAAAAAGUAAAAAUUUUUACGACUCCCCCAAGAGGGAGAUAACAUAAGGUUGAAGUCCCAGUGGAGAAAAAAAGCCAUAUUGCAUUAAAUACCUUUUGAGAGAGGAUUUGAUGCAAAUUGAAAGAAACCCUUAACCUCAGAUAGCCAAAGUCACUAAGAUAGAACAUGAAAAGGGAUUCGAUCAAAAUGUGUACCUUUCACAGAGAUAUAGGCUAUAACACUGAAGAUUGCAUCGACCUAAAAAAUGAAAUUGAAGCUUUGAUAAAAAAAGAUUAGUUAAAAAGAUUUAUGGGUUAAAAAAGACAAGAUCGACCUAGAAUGAACUAUAAGUAAGGCCGAAGAGGGCUCAUUCGAGGUAGAGAGAAAAAUCAUAACAUGAAAUAACGAAAGCCUAAGAAGACAUGCCGAUUCAAGAAAAGGUCCAAACUGAUAAAUAACAGGUCAAUUAUUAAGGUGAUUAAUGUGUUCACUAGGGGUAGCUCCACCUUGUUCAAGAGAAAGUUUAACCUAGGCAUGGUUAUGGCAGUAGACACCUUAGCAAAAAAAAAAAAGAUUAUAGAGAUAAAAUGAUCUCAUUUAGCUUGAAAGAUCUUGAAAGAAUCUAAACCCACAUGAUAAUGUUAUAGUAAUCACGGUCUUAGUGUAUAACUAUGUACUCAAAAGAAUUUUAUUUGAUAACGAGAGUUCAACUGACAUCAUGUACUACAACUAUAUAAAGAAAAUAAAAAUUAGUGAAGAUCAAUUAAAGUCGAUCAUCAUGAUGCUUGUGAAGUUUGAAAAUGAGCAGGUACCAAUAAAAAAAACCAUCAAGCUUUCGAUCUUUUUAGAGAUUGAACCAAAGACUAUCACCUCAGUUAUAAAAUUUAUAGUUAUAGACGUCCCAUUAGCUUAUAACAUGAUAUUAGGCCAACCUAGCUAGUUUAUUAUGUGACUUAUAGGCUCAAAUUCUCAUUUAAAAGUAAAAUUUUUAACACCCAGUGAGAUUGGAGAAGUCCAAAGAGAAUCUAUAGCAUAACAGUGUUAUGUUACAAUAAUAAAUGGCAGAAUUAGGAAGUAUAUGGGCAGUUCGACAGAAACUGAGGUUAAAAGCAAAGGACAACCACUAAAAAUUGACAAGAAGUAAAAAAUCAUCAGCGAGAGCAUAAAACAUAAGAUCCACUUGAUAGAAGCAUGCUCUUAAGUCGCUUUAACUCUUAAGCUUUAAUAAAAAGAAAACUUUUAUUCUAUUUUAAAAUUUUUUGAAAUAACUCCAAAGAUAAUUGAUCUUUUAAAUCGGUGUGAACAAUUAUAUGUCAUUUGAAUUGAGCUAAUAUGUUAGCCAAAAUAUAGUAUAAAAUAAAAAAUACAUACCAAUUUCACUACAUACAUAUUCAGCAAGUUACCUACAGUAUAUUGAUCGUCACAUUAUGAUCUAUUUUCAUAAAAAUGAUAUUGACCUAAUUGAACAAAAAAGAUAAUUGAUUAAAAAUCAAACUCAGAUGAAAACUAACUUGAACUGAUUGAGAACCUUGUAACAGUCCCAUUUUGGGAUAACAUUCUUGGAAAACAUAUGUAGAUAGGAGCUAAACUUCGAUAUAAGGAUCAGUUAAUUUAACUUUUAAAAGAUAAUAUCGACCUAUUUGCUUGGAUACCAUCCGAUAUGCCUAGUAUUGAUACCAAAGUGAUGAUUUAUAAGUUGCAUAUUAACACCAAGGUAAAACCAAUUUGAUAAAAAAAGAGAAUCUUUACCCUAAAAAAAAACAAGCUAUUGAUGAGAAUGUCAACAAAUUAUUGUAAAUAGAUUUUAUUAGGAAGGUCUACUAUUCUAAAUGGAUAGCCAAUGUGAUCAUGGUUAAAAAACACAGUAAAAAAUGAAAUAUGUGCAUUGAUUUUACCUACCUGAAUAAAAUCUGCCUGAAAGAUAACUUUUUUUUCCUAUUAUAGAUCGAUGAUGGAUGAUAGUGCCGAGCAUGACCUUUUCAGUUUUAUGGAUGCCUAUUAUGGUUACAAUCAAAAUCAAAAUACUAAAAGAUGAUGAUAAAAAUGUAGCACUUAUUAUUGAGAAAGGCUUUUACUGUUACAAAGUAAUACCUUUUGGAUUAAAAAAUGUAGGGGCAACCUACCAAAGUUUGAUAAAUAAAAUAUUUAAAAAUUAGAUUAAUCGUAACAUGGAAGUAUAUGUAGAUGACAUGAUAAAUAAAAGUAAAAGCUUGAUGGAGCACCUGAAAAAUCUCAAAGAGACCUUUAACACCUUGAAAAAUAUAAUAUGAGGCUUAACUUGAGCAAAUGUGCUUUUGGAGUCACGUUGGGUAAGUUACUCGAUUAUAUGUUUAACAAAAAAGGGAUAGAGGCAAUCCUAUAAAAAAGUUCAAGCAGUCCUAAACAUGAAGGCACCGACCUCGAUAAAAGAAAUACGAAAGUUAACGAACAGAAUAGCCACCUUAAGCCGAUUCAUGUCCAGGUCGACAGAAUAAUGUCUGCCAUUCUUAAAAAUUAUUAUGAACGUCUAUGACUUCAGGUGGACCCCUCAAUGCCAAAAAAGUUGUUAUCCUCUCUAUUUAUUUUAUCCAAGCCUAGACUUGGUGAAAAUUUGUACCUAUACAUAGCCAGCAUAGACUAAAGCGUUAGCUUGAUCCUAAUUUGAGAAGAAAAAAAGAAACAAAUAUCAAUUUAUUUUUUACGUAAGGUAUUGAUGGGCCAAAAAUUAACUACAGCAGCAUAAAAAAGCUAGCUUAUAUUUUUGUCACCUUAACCAAAAAAUUCAGGCUAUAUUUUCAAACCUACACAAUUCACAUACUAAUCGACCAACCACUAAGACAGGUCUUAUAAAAACUUGAAAUGUUGGGAAGGCUAACUAAAUGGAUGAUGGAGCUCAACAAAUUUGACCUACAUAUAUUACCUAGGUCGGCCUUAAAAUCACAGGUAUUUGUAAACUUUGUUAUAAAACUUACCAUGGUAUACCUUAAAAGACAAUUCGAAGAAAAGUAAAAAAUCUCGGAUAAAGAUAAUUGGAAACUAUACGUUAAUGAAUCGAUCACAGGCCACAGCGAAUGAGUCGACCUUAUUUUGAUAAGCUUGGAAUGGCUACAGUACCCAUACGCCUUGAGAUUCAAGUUUAAAGCAUUUAACAAUAAGGUGAAAUAUGAGGCAUUGAUAGCUAGUUCAAAGUUGGUAACCAAAUUGAACGUUCCACAUAUAACCGCGUAUAGCGACUCCCAACUGAUGGCCAGUCAAAUAAAUGAAGAGUUCAAAGCUUGAAAAGAAGAUAUUCUAAAAUAUUUCAACAAAAAGUUUGAAGCUUAAAUAUUCUAAAAUAUUUCAGCAAAGCAAUGGCUUUAGUGGCUGGCUUAAAAAAAGUCAAGGUAAAAAAGAUACCAAAGUCAAAAAAUUCUCUAAUAGAUUUUUUAUCUAAGUUAGCUUUAGGAAUAACAAUAAAAAGCCCAAACCAAGUUCUGGCAGAAGAGCUUAUAUAUAAAAGUACGAAGGAUAAACUCAUAGGAUAGAUCAUAAAAAAAAAAAUUAGAUGACACCAAUCAAGGCAUACUUGAUCACAUAAGCAUUACGCAAUGAAAUAAUCCAAGCUAAGACAUUGAUGAGAAAGGCCCAUCGGUGUAAAAUGAUUAAAGAAAAACUAUAUAAAAAAUCUUUUAGUAUGCCCUACUUAAGAUGUGUUGAUGAGAAAAAAGUAGAUUAUGUCUUACAAGAAAUUCGUGAAAGAAUAUGUGAAAGUCAUAUUGGACCUCAGUCAUUAGCCUGCAAAGUGUUCAAGUAAGGUUGUUAUUGGCCCAUUAUCAGAAUGGAUGCAACCAAACUGGUAAAGAGAUGCGAUAAGUAUUAGAUAUUUACUCACGUGCAAUAUCUUCCCUCGAUCAAGCUUACUCUUAUCUUCAAUCCGUGGCUUUUUAAUGUAGUAAAAAAUGGAUGUCUUCAGACCAUUCAUCCCGAUCACAAGUCAGAAAAAGAUUUAUUUUAGUAGCAAUAGAUUACUUCAUAAAAUGGCUUGAAAUUAAGGCUUUGGCUACUAUUAUAGAAGCUCAAGUUAAGAAAUUUGUGUAGAAAAACAAAGUAUGUAGAUUUGGUUUACCUCUAUCUAUAAUAAUAGACAAAGGUAAAUAAUUUGAAAACUCAAGGUUGAAAGAAUGGUGUUCAAACUUUCACAUCAACUUUAGGUUCACGUUGGUUGCCCACUCUCAGUCCAACGGAUAGAUCAAAGCUACGAACAAGAUAAUAUUAUAAGCUUUAAAGAAAAAACUCUAUGUAGUAAAAAGAAAGUGGAUCAAUGAGCUAUCAGGGGUGUUAUAGGCCUUGAGGAUGAUCACAAAGGUAUCCACUAGCGAAACCCUAUCCCAUUUGACAUUUGAAACAAAAGUUAUGGUAGUUGUUAAGAUCAACCUUCCAAAAUUAAGAGUUGAAUUAGGAUUAGAAGUAAAUGAAAAAGCAUUUAAGGUCGAUAUUGACUUCAUCAAAGAAUAAAAAGACAUAAACUUAACAAGGAUAGCAGUUUAUCAGUAAAAAAUGGCCAAUUAUUAUAAUAAAAAAGCCUGACAUAAGUAUAUUAAGAAAGACGAUCUGGUGCUUAAAAAAGAAGAAUCCUCAAGAGUAGAUGACUAAGGUGACAAAUUAGUCUUAACCUAGAAAGGGUCAUAUGUUGUUAAAGAAGUCAUCCAUGACAUGAUCUACAAACUAUAAAACUUGAAUGGCGAUAUCAUUCCAAAGAUAUAGAAUGCAGAUAAUUUAAAAGUCUACUAUCAGUAGCUUGAUCUAAACUGAGCUCACACUUGUAUUUUAUACUUGAAUACAUAAAUUAACUUAUGAUUAAUAAGUUUAUACCUACCGAUCUAAUAAAAGUCGAUCUAAAACUUUGAUGAAUUCUCAAGUUAAUUUAAUCUAAAGGAUAACACAAAUCCUCAGUUUAGUUAACUAGGCUAAAAUUUCUUUGAUUAACAUUGGUUAAACUUGUGUGAAUAAAAAAAUUAUGAUAAUAAGGCUAACUUGAGUUGAAGUUUAGGCUUAUUUGAACAAGAAAUUAUAUUGAUUAAUCAUUGUAAAAAUUAUCAAUAAAUGAUGUCAGCAUAUCAUUCUUAUUUGAAGUUAUUACAAAAAAUUGACCUUAUACAUUAACAAAAAUUUAGAAAAAUAAAAAAUAAAAAGUUAAAAAAAUCAUGCAUCUACAACGUUAGUAGUAGUAGUGGGAGCAGCAUCCUCAUUAGUAAGAGUAGUAGUGAUGACCCAUUCUCUUUAACCUUUUCCACCUCAUGUUUAAGUUUUAGAGCUACCUUCAGCUUGGCCUUUAAGGCCUCACCAUCAUUAUCUUUUUCCUUUUUCUCAUCUUUUUCAGGUUGAUUUGGACGAGAUCUCGAUAUGAUAUUGUUGAUAUUAAUAUCAAAGAGGUUUAGGUUGAGGGUAGAGAAUUUAAAUUGUACCUCAUUCUUGGUCAGCUAGAAGGCACUGGCUAUGUUCUUUUUGAAAAACUCCACCUUCAUCUAAAGGCACUCAUUGAAAGCUUUUAACUCUUCUAUGACCUUUUUUCAGGUAUUCUUCCUCUUUUUCCCUAUCUUCGAGCUUAUACCUCAGUUUUACGAUCUUAACUUGAGCAUCAUUAAGCUUGAGCUCGACUUACUCUCUUAUUGAGUUAGCUGAAGCUUUGUCAAUCAGGAUAACCUUCAGCUUUGUUGUCAACUUGUCAAAUUUUUUCCUCUGCUCAAUUUUUUUUGUGGGAUGCACUAAGGCUAGAUCAAACAUUGCCUAGUAUGUUUGAGCUUUUCUUGUGUUUUUCAGCCAAGGUAGCCAUGUUUUUCUCAACCCUUAACAUGUGGGUCAUUAUGAGGUAGGCAUGGUGGAAGACUUCAUCAGUAUUAUCCAUGGGUUGAAGGGAAAAUUUUUGUUAAAAUGUGUAAAAUGACCUCAAAUUAGCUAAAUAAAAAAUACUGAUAAAAUCGAGCUAAAGCCAAUCAGUGCUUACCAAGAAGAGAAAACGUAACUUUGCUGAAUCUCUUUAUCAUGGUCAAGUUGGUGAUAGGGUCAUCAUUAAAAGUGCAUUUGAAAUUGGUAGAUAUCUUUUUCGAGCUAAGCCUUAACACCCUAGCCUGAAGAUUCUCCAGAGUCGAAUGAGAAGCCUCAACUCGUGGUUUUUUGGCAAGAAGAUGAGGUGUUAUUACUAAUGUUAAGGAUAUAUCUCGACCAAUCCUAGCCUCUACUUUUCAGGUUACAGGAGAAUGGUGGAGUAAGGUAUUAACGACCUUGUCUCCUCCGUAAGACGGGAUCCUGAGCUAAAUUUUUUGGCCCUUAUUGGGCAUAGUGGUGUGUUGGUAUAGUCCAAAGUCAAAAUCGUCAUUGCUAGCCAUUUCUAUAAAAUUGAGCUAAUAGUUAGAUAGAAUUAGGUUAAAAUAAAAUCUUAUGAUGUUACCUUAAACCUACCACAGUACUUUAUCUUAUUUAUUACUUCUGGGGAGGUCAGCUCGUGGGCAUUAAUGAUUACCUCCCUUUUAUGGGUGUAUUCUAAAAUUUUAUCCAGAUUUGAUAAAUCCAAGAUAGAGAAAGCCAUUGGUGUAUCCACGAAAGUAUCAAACAUAUUUUUAUUUCCCAAGCCUUAAUCUCGAAAUAACCUUGACCCUGGCUCACCAUCUUUAUUUAUUUUUUGAUUUUCAAGGUAAAAAAGAGCAUUUUUUAAUUUUUUAUUAAGCUCGAACAAUUGGUAAAUAAUUUCUUAUUAGGUCGAGCUGUUAUGUAGUACCACCCACUAUCGUUUAGGUGCUUUUUAAAACAAAGAACUCUUAAAUAGAGGGAGAGAGGGAAAGAUGUUUAAAUGUUGACAAAGAACAAUGAAGGCAACUAUGUAUCGUAUAGAGUUAGGAGUAAGCUAAGUGAUAGUCAAAUUUUAAAAAUUAAAAAUUAAAACAAAUAAAGGAUGAAGCGAAAACCUUAAACCAAUCACAAAGAAAUCUCAAUACACAUAGAGUCAAUAUGGUUUAGUCUAUCAAUGACCUGAUUUGAGGAGUUUGACAUUAUUAUAUUAUAUCCCUCUCUGAAAAAAAAGAAAGUCAUAACUAAAGCAUGAAAGUGAUGAACUAAAUACAUGUUAGGACAAUUUUUAGGAUUAGGGAUCACGUCGGGGUCACAAAUAGUAUACAUAAGGACCUCUACCAAUUCAUCCUGCUAUACAAUAUUCCUCUUUUGGCCAUUGUUUUCCUUAAUGAAGGUACUUUCUUUUUUUGUUUCUCCUCAAAACCAUUCUCGUCAGAAUCUUUACAACCAAAAGAUUUUGACUCCUAAGCAGAACAAUGAUUUUGAGGUUGAAUUGUGGUUGAAAAUAACUCAAAUCAAAGUGAAGAAGGAUAAAAUGAAGAAGGAUGAGGUGGAUACCCUUCAAGAGAUGAAAAAAUCUCAACAAGAAUUAACUGGGGUAGAAUGAAAGUGAUGACAGGAGCAUUGAUAGGGGAAAAAGCAGAGGUAAAAAAAAAUUAAUGAGACUGAACCCCAGAAAAAGAAACAAUCAAGGAUGAAUAAAGGUUGGCUAUAAAAGAUGGACUAACUUGAAAGAUGGAAAAAUGUGGUGGAUUUUGUAGGUUGAAGUCAAUUUAAGUAUAUAACUCUUUCAUGUUCAGAACCUAUUUUUUUCUUACCCAAGCAUUAUUUUCAUCUUAUUAUUGCCCUUCUUUGGACAUCAGAUUGAAUCAGUAGGCCAUCUUCUCAUAAUAAUGGCCCUCGAUAAUUGGUGGAAUCAAAUUGUCAUUUGGCUGCCUGUGCUGACCUCCUUUAGGUUCCAGCCAGUAACUAUCGACCUCCCCAAAACUCAAACUAAAAGAUGUGGUUAAAAAUACAUAUCGAAUAAGGUGUGAUAAAACUUUAAAAGCUGAAAAGUUUUUAAAAUCGAAAAGCUCAUAUCGGAUUGAGAGCAAAGAAAGCAAAAAGGUAAAAAACUGAAGCCUUAAUGGCUUCUUAUAUAGACGUACUACAGAUCAAAUCAACAAUACAUGCUGUAUUACGUGUCAAAACAAAGGUGGGAAUACGUUUUUUCGUCUUCCCCUUUAAAUUUUCUUAUUCAGAACACCUCUUUCCUCAUAUAAUGUUAUCAGACUGACCUUACUGGACAAACUUAAAAAGGAUCGACUAAACCAGACGACUCUUUAGGGAAAACUGAGAACCCGAUUCACCAUUAGAUUUCAAAGUAAAUGUUCAAAUCCAAGCUUUUGAAAUGAAAUACAAGUUUUACGAUGAUUAGACGAACUCCAACACUAACCUUAAAUCAUUCUGAAUAAUUAUCACCUUGGCAACUUUUAAGCUGGCUAUACACUGAACCUAAGAUAUAUGCACAAGUUCAGACAACUACAAGGUCAAACCACGGCUCAAGGCUAGCUAUCCCCUAAAACCGACCUCUUUUUAAAAUAUCGGCUUCGAAAAAUCAAACUUCUAGGUCAUCUUAUUUUGCCAAUUUGCCCUACAUUAGGGGCGUCGAUCAUACAUUUAGCAAUUUGAUACUUAGAUUGUUUUAUGGACAGAUAAAGUGUUAGAGAUAUUUAAUGAUAAAAAAAGUAUAAUGGUUUUUUCCCUCUUAGAAUCCUUCAACAAAUAACCAACAAUAUUUUUAUCAUGAAUGUUAACUAACAUAUUAGAUUGAUUUAACAUAUUUAAUACCAUAUCAACUUGACAUUAUUUUUAUUAUACCCUAAUAAUUUUUUACAACUUAUUUAUAAAUAUGAAAAUCUAAGCACAAUUAAAACAGGUUCAUUCAACUCAUUGUUUCUCAUUUCUACUUCAUUUUCGAUCUCACUCUUUUUUAUUUACUCAUCGGAGUGAAAUGCAAAGAACAUAUCAUACUUUUAUCUUUAAUCGUCUUUUUCAUUUUUUCUUUUUAAGAAUACCCAGCUUAGCAUAAACAGUAAAUGUUCUAAGUUAAUCCACAAUUUAAUUUGACAAUGGGACACGUCAUCUCAGGCCCACGUGUUUCGCAAAAGCAUCUCCCACAUUGUUAGUAACGCCACCUCACCAUUUCACCGAACCAGUUUUACCCGAAACCUCCGACUAGAUACAAACCAACCAAACCAAACGCACCAAUCUUUCAAAGAAUUCCAUAGAAAGUGGUCAGUCAGGUCCACACCCACUCGCUUCAAUUAUAAGUUGUAGUUCGCACUGCGGAUGGCAUCUUCACCUUUUCAUUUCUCCACUCCACUUCGCACUCUCUUCUCAUCUGCGUCACAUCGAAGAUUACCUUGCAUUCCUAUCCAGGCCUCGCUAUUCCGGCAGCCCCUUACGCAUAAGACGCUUGCCAUCUCGACCGGGAUUAGAGGUGUUCCGGGUUCCGGGAGAUUUUGUUGGAGAGCCAAGGCGUCGAUGGCGGGGACCGCAACUGAGAAAGGGAAAGGAAAGGUGGAGGUUUUUGAUUCCG